This 346-nucleotide unclassified non-coding RNA is filed under the name uncultured Mortierella. RNAcentral describes it as "sequence contains ITS2". The record is from RNAcentral. Lineage: Eukaryota; Fungi; Mortierellomycota; Mortierellomycetes; Mortierellales; Mortierellaceae.
AACGCACAUUGCGCUCUCUGGUAUUCCGGAGAGCAUGCUUGUUUGAGUAUCAGUAAACACCUCAAUUUCAUGAUUCUUAAUUUUGAAAUUGGACUUGAGCAGAUCCCAACGUACAUUUAACUGUGUGGAGGGUUGCUUCAAAUGCAGGUGCAGCCGAUCAUUCUUCUGGGCUAAAAGCAUUAUCUAGUUAAUCCCGUAAAACGGAUUAUUCACUUUAUUGCUGCAGCUUACCCUAUAUAAAAGGAAGACAUGGCCAUUGUGCUGACUGAUGCAGGAAUUCUCAGAGGUCUGUAAAGACUUUUGAAAACUCGAUCUCAAAUCAAGUAAGACUACCCGCUGAACUUAA